RNAcentral lists this ribosomal RNA (253 nucleotides) under uncultured bacterium. RNAcentral describes it as "partial 16S ribosomal RNA". It matches the Rfam family "Bacterial small subunit ribosomal RNA", at positions 524 to 776 of the family's 1533-position model. The record is from RNAcentral.
UACGUAGGGGGCUAGCGUUGUCCGGAUUUAUUGGGCGUAAAGCGCUCGCAGGUGGUUUGUCGCGUCGUGCGUGAAAGACCCCGGCUCAACUGGGGAGGGUCGUGCGAUACGGGCGAACUGGAGGCCAGUAGGGGGAUGCGGAAUUCCGGGUGUAGUGGUGGAAUGCGUAGAGAUCCGGAGGAACACCAGUAGCGAAGGCGGCUCGCUGGGCCAUUCCUGACGCUGAGACGCGAAAGCUAGGGGAGCGAACAGG